GGCUCCUUAGUUCAACGGAUAGAACGUGGGUUUCCUAAACCUAAAAUACAGGUUCGAUUCCUGUAGGAGCUA
This 72-nucleotide transfer RNA is filed under the name Bacteroidales bacterium. Its description in RNAcentral is "tRNA-Arg". It matches the Rfam family "tRNA". From Rfam's summary of the family: Transfer RNA (tRNA) molecules are approximately 80 nucleotides in length. Their secondary structure includes four short double-helical elements and three loops (D, anti-codon, and T loops). RNAcentral also lists the same sequence under 1 other name. The record is from RNAcentral. Lineage: Bacteria; Pseudomonadati; Bacteroidota; Bacteroidia; Bacteroidales.